Molecule: ribosomal RNA, 446 nt
Filed under: uncultured bacterium
Lineage: Bacteria
Description: partial 16S ribosomal RNA
Rfam family: Bacterial small subunit ribosomal RNA
Source: RNAcentral
CCUACGGGGGACUGCAGUCGAGAAUCAUUCACAAUGGGGGAAACCCUGAUGGUGCGACGCCGCGUGGGGGAAUGAAGGUCUUCGGAUGGUAAACCCCUGUCAUGUGGGAGCAAAUUAAAAAGAUAGUACCACAAGAGGAAGAGACGGCUAACUCUGUGCCAGCAGCCGCGGUAAUACAGAGGUCUCAAGCGUUGUUCGGAAUCACUGGGCGUAAAGCGUGCGUAGGCUGUUUCGUAAGUCGUGUGUGAAAGGCGCGGGCUCAACCCGCGGACGGCACAUGAUACUGCGAGACUAGAGUAAUGGAGGGGGAACCGGAAUUCUCGGUGUAGCAGUGAAAUGCGUAGAUAUCGAGAGGAACACUCGUGGCGAAGGCGGGUUCCUGGACAUUAACUGACGCUGAGGCACGAAGGCCAGGGGAGCGAAAGGGAUUAGAUACCCGUGUAGUC